GCAGAAUUUAUGCUAGCGUUCAAACCAUUUUUCUCCCAGCCAGAGAACCCACUUCUAAACAAAACUUUGCUUGGAAUCACAGAAUUUGAAUGCUGCUGAGGGAGAGGAAGCGAUGGGGUAGAUAUGGAGGAAAAGCCACAUGAAGACACAGCAAGAUGGCGGCAUCCGCACGCUAUGCAAAAAGCCCUCACCAAGAGUCAAACCUGCUGGUUCCUUGAUCUUGGACUUCCUGGCCCCCACAUCUAUGUCACUGCUAGAGUCCUCUAACUUCCCAAAGAUGAAAACAACUGAAAGAUGGCAGAGCAGAGAGAUGGAAAGAACAAACGUCCUGAGGAUAUCAUUGAACUGCUGAAUCAACCUCGCCUGAAGCUUGUCUUAACUGCGACCUUGCUUUUCAGUGAGGUCAUGAAAGAUCCUGGUUCCUGACUCUUGACUCACAGCUAAGCCAGCUUCAGCAGUCUCUACCCAGUCACUGACUACCACUGUGUCCUUGGGCAAGUCACUGAAUUUCUCGAACUCCGUUUUUGCACCAGAACCUAUUGCCAGGAUUAAACGACAAUAAGAAUGAAGCAUUUGAAAAUUUGCAGUGUCUGGUGUCUCGUAAGGAUGCAAAUGACUCCCAGGCAUGAUUUUUAUUAUAGGGCUUUGGGGCACCAUCAAGCAAGAAAGUGCAGGCCUGGGCUGAGAGUCAUAACUUAUGUACUUCUCUGUUUAUAGUUGUCGUCCUCUGGCUGUUCCUUCUAGAAAGUUACUAAAAACCGCUCCCCAAAACCUGUUUUUAUAAUG
Long non-coding RNA from Dama dama (fallow deer), 786 nucleotides. RefSeq lists it as uncharacterized. The record is from RefSeq and is a predicted model, not a curated record. Lineage: Eukaryota; Metazoa; Chordata; Mammalia; Artiodactyla; Cervidae. The transcript is spliced from 3 exons.